CCUUAUGUUGAAGUUGAUUUUCCUCAUGCAGGCAAGGCUCCAAAUCUGUUGCCUUGAAAACAUUAUUUGAUUCUUCAUGGUUUAUCCUCUUGACCCAACUAAGAGAUGGUAUUUGGCUUGGGAAUACCCUGGGAUGGGAUGGCCAGUGCAGCAAUGACUACCCCAAUCUGACAAGCUCUCCAGGAAGGGCUAUCCGUGAGUCACACAAUUAGGUGGUGUCAGGAGACAACCUGGGCUUCCCAGGCCCGCAGCUCUGGACUGUGCUUCUCCCCAAGAUGUACACUCAGACGUGCGUUCAUGUGCACAGAAACUUCUGGUCGCGCUCUCUAGGAACGCUGGGCAGUGUUCUGCUGAGUCUUGACACCCUCCCCUGAGUGCAGAGGGUGCUGAGGACUGAAGGUGUUGGUAGGAGGGCCCUGAGCAGCACUAUACAUCUGUUUCAUAAUCUGUUGUUUUUCUGCUUAAUAUUCUAUUGUUACUAUCGUUCUGCGCCUCUAAGUAGUCUUCUAUAACAUUUCUUAAAGGUUGCAUAGCACUCUCUUGUAUGAAUGCAAAAUAGAUGAUUUAAUCAAUUCUUUUUAUUUUUUUCAGAUUGUGGUUGUUUCAAAGUUUUUGCUAUUAUAAUUGGCCCUACAGGGAACACACUUGGAGCUGAAUCUUUACUCACUUAAUUAUUACCUUGGAAUAAAUUACUACAACUAGAAUUGUUGGUUCAAAAGAGGCUCCCAGCUUCUCCUUAAUGACUGAUAAAAGCUCUGAGUGUACC
RNAcentral lists this long non-coding RNA (766 nucleotides) under Pan troglodytes (chimpanzee). RNAcentral's name for it is "long non-coding RNA NONPTRT011565". The record is from RNAcentral. Lineage: Eukaryota; Metazoa; Chordata; Mammalia; Primates; Hominidae.